Molecule: ribosomal RNA, 484 nt
Filed under: uncultured bacterium
Lineage: Bacteria
Description: partial 16S ribosomal RNA
Rfam family: Bacterial small subunit ribosomal RNA
Source: RNAcentral
AUUGAACGCUGGCGGCAUGCUUUACACAUGCAAGUCGAACGGCAGCGCGGGCUUCGGCCUGGCGGCGAGUGGCGAACGGGUGAGUAAUACAUCGGAACGUGCCCAGUAGUGGGGGAUAGCUCGGCGAAAGCCGGAUUAAUACCGCAUACGACCUGAGGGUGAAAGCGGGGGAUCUUCGGACCUCGCGCUAUUGGAGCGGCCGAUGGCAGAUUAGCUAGUUGGUGGGGUAAAGGCCUACCAAGGCGACGAUCUGUAGCUGGUAUGUGAGGACGACCAGCCACAGUGGGGCUAAGACGCGCCCCAUCCUCCUGCGGGGGCGGCGGGUGGGGAUUUAUGAAGGAUGGGCCAGAGCUUAACCUGCGAGUCCCGUGUGUGAGUUGGUCACUUGGGGAUUAAAAAGCAGUUUUGGGGGGACGAAAAAGCAUUGUGCGAAUACCCCGGUACAAUGGCGGUCCCCGGGAAAGAAGCCCGGUCUAAAUACGUG